RNAcentral lists this ribosomal RNA (607 nucleotides) under Triticum aestivum (bread wheat). RNAcentral describes it as "partial small subunit ribosomal RNA". The record is from RNAcentral. Lineage: Eukaryota; Viridiplantae; Streptophyta; Magnoliopsida; Poales; Poaceae.
GGUAGGAUUCAGCCGCGUCAACCGUCUGCUGCUCCUCCUCCUGUCCGUCCGCCCGUCCGCCCGCCCGCCCGUCCCGAAGCGUCUCGCCGCCUCCUCCACCGGACCACCGCCUCGAAGGCGAGCAGCCGCCCCCUUCCUCCUCCCGGAUUCUUGUCUGCCAUGGGUGACUACACAAUCCGGAUAAGCACCAGCUUGAUCGAGCAGCUCGCGCGCGAUGACGAGAAGCAGGUGAAAAGGAGGACCAGGAAACCCAGGCCGAAGAAGGUGGUGGAGCAACCAGAGGAGCCUCAGGACAAUGGCAGGGAAGUGGUGGAAGCCAUACGCGCCGUGGUGGCGGAGAGCGAGAAGGUGCUGGAGAAGCUGCAGAAGAAGGAGGCGGCGAUGCGCGAGGAGCUUACCAAGAGGGCCAAGGAGCUGCAUGACAAGGAGUUCAAGCUGCCCUACCAGAACCCCUCGCCAUGCACCGACGAGAGGGCGGGCUGCGCCGAGUGCUACAGGAGCAACGUGCAGGACCCGCUCAAGUGCGCCGAGGCGGUCAAGAGGUUCGAGGCUUGCGUUCGCAUGGCGAGGCGGGGCGGUGCCACCAUGGGAGCUGCUCAGUAGUAGC